GUGGGGCUCCGUCUCACGACAGCGAGACCAUGACCUGAGCUGAAAUCCAGAGUCGGACACUUAACCAACUGAGCCACCCAGGCGCCCCUGAUUCCUCUUUCUCGUUUGACACACUGAGCUGUAAGAGAUACAUUUUCAUACAAGAACACACAAGGAAUAUUAAAAAGCAAGAAGAAAAAUGGAAGUGUGUUUACAAAAAGUUGGUUCAUGUGAUCUUAACCAAUAGUUCCCCUUUUGAGAUUCCUUUUCAUUUCUCAGCCCUUAUCAUCAGUGCCCAGGAGACAUACCACAGACAGCACCGAGGCACCACCUCUGGACCUUAAUGCCGUGUUUGUGUUGUGUUAUUCAGGCACAGUUGCAGAGCCUGGGCUUGGUGGGAGUUUCCAAAGGUGGCCCUAUUUGCCAAAGGCAGUGCUGAGGCAUGGGCCGUGUGGCCCGUGUGUCCUAGGCCUGCCACGGGCUCUAUGUGGAGGAGUCUCUGGACAGGCUGCCAUCUUGGACAGGCAAUCUGGGUUCAGGCUGGCUCCCCUCCAGAUGGCACUUCAUUAGAGAAAAGCACAGUUAAGGCCCCACAUGGGGCACACCUGUUUAUCCAGCUCCAUCUCAGAUCCUGCCUUCCCAAUGUGCCUCUGACAGGCACAGAAGUGAAACACAUGGAGCUCCUUUUGGCCUAGUGCUGUUUAUUGUCACAUUUAAUUCUCAGUCCCACCGUAUGGAGUGAUUGUCUGCAUUUUAUAAUUAAGGAUCCUGUGGAACCAGGGAGUUCAAGCAACUUGUUCAAGGAAACACGACUAGUAAGUGGCCCACGUAGUACUUGAGCCCAGCUCUUUCCGGCAACAGAAACCAGGCACUUUUCAAUGUGCUACCCAGCCUCUUCAGGCAACAGGAACUCUGCAGACACCUCAGCUCACUCCAAUCUAUUGACCAACUUGAAUGUGUUACCACUGCCGAGCAGGGGAGUGUACACGAAGACACAUUCGUAGAUCGUGCAUGAGACAGGAGAUAGCUCCUUUUCAUUCAGCCAAGUAGAUUUGAAAUCCCCCUUUUCUAGAAAACGUUCCUGGCCCCACCUGAAUCCACUUAGCUAUAGAACAUCAUACCUCCCUCCUUCCCUGUUUCAACCGCCGAAUGAUUGUCCUUUGAGACAGUUACAGAGCAGUGGCAGAAGCAUUUCAGACCACCUGCAAGGCAACUGCCUGCGUGUUUGCAUGGGGGAUCCUGUCGCAGGAUUUUGGCCCACAGAAGGCAGGGGCCUGGGCUGCCUGAGUCACCGUAGGUAAGGCAGCAAAUCCCAAAUCAGCCCUGAGUCAUCCGCACCCACUCCUCUCUCACUGCCAGCCACCUUUCCAGGGGUAACACCUGAAUCACCUUCUCUGCCUUCAGGAAGUGCACAUCUUAACCGAAACAAUAGCAGAGUCUCUCCUCAGAAGAUUUGCAGCCUCAGCGCGGCAUGCUUUGCUAUGACUCAGAGCCUGCAAAUGCUGAAAAUACUACCACCAUGUUCCUCGGGAUGACAAAUCCUCCCAAAUGCUAUCACUACGGACUUCCUUCCAUGGCAGGCUUGGUGCCCAGUCUGCAAGUCAGCGUAAGCCCUAAGGCUCUGGGCUUCAGGAAAGCAAGUUUGAUUUCUGGAGGCCAUGUGGCACCCGCUUAUUCUCGGUCACAAUACAUGCCAACGUGCGGCAGGCUGGUUACGAUCACAUAUUUGCUAUUGUAAACUGAAGCAAGCUCGAGGCCUGAGCAUCGAAGCCGGUUCAAAAGUCAUCACAAGUUUUCUCUUCCAGGGGAAGAAUAAAGAACUUCCAAUUAAAGUGUAGAGUGGAGCCCCUUCCAUCCCGUUCCACUUGCCUUUCCUAAACUUUCAAGAAUAAAAAUAAAUCAUUUUUCUGA
This is a long non-coding RNA of Felis catus (domestic cat), 1890 nucleotides long. RefSeq lists it as uncharacterized. The record is from RefSeq and is a predicted model, not a curated record. The transcript has 3 exons. Lineage: Eukaryota; Metazoa; Chordata; Mammalia; Carnivora; Felidae.